Molecule: long non-coding RNA, 493 nt
Organism: Mirounga angustirostris (Northern elephant seal)
Lineage: Eukaryota; Metazoa; Chordata; Mammalia; Carnivora; Phocidae
Exons: 3
Source: RefSeq, a predicted model, not a curated record
CCAUUAUGAUCCAUUCUCUACACAGCAUCCAGAAGGAUCUCUUUAAAAUGUGUAUAGGGGUCAAGCUUAUGACUCACCAAUGACUUAGCACAAAAUUCAGUCUCCCUCUGUUCUAGUCCAUUUGGGCUGUUGUAACAAAACUACUGUAGAUGAGGUGGCAUGAGGAACAAACAGUUCUGGAGGCUGGAAGUCCAAGAUCAAGAAUUGAUUCCAGCCUCGUCCUCAGUGGACACUCAAGGAAAGCAUGCUGAAUGGACGCCUGAGCUUGGAAGACAGGAAUUUGGACACAGACACACAGACAUAAGGGGAAGAUGAUCAUGUGAAGAUGGAGGCAGAAAUUGGAAUGAAGCUUCCACAAACCACGGGAUGCCAAGGAGUACAACAGUUACUAUAAACUACUAGGGAAUUCUUCCCUAGAGUCUUCAGAGGAAGCAUGUCCAUGCUGGAACCUUGAUUUCAGACUUUAAUCCUUAAGAACUGUGAGAGAAUAAAU